Gorilla gorilla gorilla (western lowland gorilla) is the source of this 25637-nucleotide RNA transcript. RefSeq lists it as uncharacterized. Lineage: Eukaryota; Metazoa; Chordata; Mammalia; Primates; Hominidae. The transcript has a single exon. The record is from RefSeq and is a predicted model, not a curated record.
GUUGCUGGCAGCUCCCAGAUGCAGGAGGAAAGGCUCAGAAUUGCCUUCCUAAUAAGGAAUUGUUGAUGUGAACUUUGGACGGCAAACACUGCUUACAUUUCCUUUUCCGUUUUGAUGUGUUAAUGGUGUGCGGCAACGCCGUGACGCACGGGGACGCAGGUGACGGGUGCCCCCCCCGCAAGGGGACCAUGCACCUGUUUGAUAAUAAGGCAUGCUUCUCUUACUGCAAAUAAAAACUUCAAUGGUUUUCUGCCAGAAAGACCCUGUCUUUUAUGUAGGAUACAUAGAGGAUCAUUUGGCAAGUGAUUGGGGAUUUUGGGUUAAACUAAAAAUAAAUUAAUUUCAUUUUAUAGCACUCUGAACACAUUUGAGUUAAUUAUUCAUUGAGAAUUUGAAUAGCACACACUGUUCUGACUUCCGACUUCUCCCAAUGAAUGGCAUUUGCUGUAACGUGACAAAACCCUGAGUCUUAGAAUUAUUGGGUAAUGUGAAAAAAGGAAAAGUUGGUUCUCUGUUGUUUUGCUUUAAGGAAAUUAUAUUAUUUUACAGUCACUUAGUUUUCUCCUUUCCAAUAAGAAAAAUUGCUUUCUUACUACCUGAAAAUUCGUGAAGGUCAAGGGGACACACCCUGCAGUGCAUUAAAAGCCACCAUCAAAUGUGGACGUGGACUCAGUUUCCCUCUGUUCUCUCCCACCCUCAAAUGUGGACGUGGACUCAGUUUUCCUCUGUUCUCGCCCACCGUCAAAUGUGGACGUGGACUCAGUUUUCCUCUGUUCUCGCCCACCGUCAAAUGUGGACGUGGACUCAGUUUUCCUCUGUUCUCUCCCACCGUCAAAUGUGGAUGUGGACUCAGUUUCCUUCUGUUCUCACCCACCGUCCAAUGUGGACGUGGACUCAGUUUUCCUCUGUUCUCACCCACCGUCAAAUGUGGACGUGGACUCAGUUUUCCUCUGUUCUCUCCCACCGUCAAAUGUGGACGUGGACUCAGUUUCCUUCUGUUCUCACCCACCGUCAAAUGUGGACGUGGACUCAGUUUUCCUCUGUUCUCUCCCACCGUCAAAUGUGGAUGUGGACUCAGUUUCCUUCUGUUCUCACCCACCGUCAAAUGUGGACGUGGACUCAGUUUUCCUCUGUUCUCUCCCACCGUCAAAUGUGGAUGUGGACUCAGUUUCCCUCUGUUCUCGCCCACCGUCAAAUGUGGACGUGGACUCAGUUUUCCUCUGUUCUCACCCACCGUCCAAUGUGGACAUGGACUCAGUUUCGCUCUGUUCUCUUCCACCGUCCAGUGUGGACGUGGACUCAGUUUCCCUAUGUCCUCUCCCACCAUCCAGUGUGGAUGUGGACUCUGUUUCCCUCUGUUCUUGCCCAUCCUCAAAUGUGGAUGUGGACUCAGUUUCCCUCUGUUCUUGCCCAUCCUCAAAUGUGGACGUGGACUCAGUUUCCCUGUGUUCUCGCCCACCAUCCAAUGUGGAUGUGGGCUCAGUUUCCCUCUGUUUUCUCCCACCCUCAAAUGUGGAUGUGAACUCAGUUUCCCUCUGUUCUCUCCCACCCUCAAAUGUGGAUGUGAACUCAGUUUCCCUCUGUUCUCUCCCACCCUCAAAUGUGGAUGUGGACUCAGUUUCCCUCUGUUCUCUCCCACCGUCCAAUGUGGACGUGGACUCAGUUUCCUUCUGUUCUCGCCCACCAUCCAAUGUGGACGUGGACUCAGUUUCCCUCUAUUCUAGCCCAGCUUGCCACCAUGGUUCAUUUCACAUUCACUCAGGAAAGGAAGAAACAUUGUUUUUAAUAGGUAUGAAGGCAGUUGUUUUUAACCUAAGGAACAGAACAUAAUUCUAGCAAUGGAAAUUACCAACCAAGUGAGUCUGUGUGAGGUUUGGAAGAAAAAAAGGAUUUUCACUUCCACACUCUGUGUGUGCGCACCUCCCCCAGUUGAGAGUCACAGAUUUAAUUACUUUAAUUUUGAGCUUAAAAUAAUUUGACAGCCUAACAAAAACUACUACAGUCCUAUAAAAUUCUGCUUUUGUGUUUGGUUUUUCAGUUGCUUGGCUUAAUAUGGUGAAUGAAUGCAUUAUGAGUUGUUAUUUUAGUAAUUGCUAUAAAAAUUAAUGUAUGUUAUAGCCAAGUGUUAUAAAAUUAAUUUAACAGCAAAGUAAAACUAAAGCUGCAUUGAUUUCUCGCUGUACUUGUGCUUAAAGACGGCUCCAUGAGGCAGGCCCUGUGAUCCUGCAGGCCGGCAGGAGCAGGUGCUACCUGGCUGGUGCGGUCGCCACCCGUCCCCUCUUGCUGCCAGGCAGCUUUGCAGUUUCCAGGCUAUGGGGGAGUCGAGGCGGGUGGUCAGUAAGAGACAGUGGGGAGUUGGGUGGUGCAGGUUGGCGUGGGGUGGAAGGAGGCGUGGAGUGUGGGUGUGGAGAGCCUGGGGGAGGCUGGACAGCAGCUCCAGUACCUGCGCAGGGGGACAGGGUGCAGGGGGCACGGGGCAGUGAGUAGCUCCUGGAAACAGCCAUUGGGGUUUUUAUAAAUGGGCCUGUCUUCAGCUCUGCACCACAUUCCUGCUGGGGCCGGGUGGAGAUUGGAGGUGUCGAGCGUGCGUUUCUCCAGGUGAGGGCCCAGCUGACACAGCCCGUGUUUCCUGGAGGCCCCUCACCUGGGAACGUGCCCCUGCUCUUCUCAGAACAAAAUAAAUCUUAAACUCUACACAUCACCUUUCCAGAAAGUGUUUAAGUCUGUGUGCCUGUUAACUCACCUAAAUUUAAAGAGUAAUGAUACAAUAUGCUUCUUUUUAGGGGAGAAAACCUAGCUGAUUUAAAAGAUAAAAUCAGAGGUCGGGGGACGCAGCAUUUUGGAGGAGACGGGGUUUCUGUCCUAGUGGGCAGCAGUGUUUCCUGAACUACUGUGUUUGCUCUAUUAUUACAUUACAGAAGUGACACGUCAAACCUAGGGAAAUGGAAGGCAAAGUGCCCCCCCCCCCAUUCAGAGAUAAACGUUAUCAACGUAUUCAUGCACUUCCUUCUGUUUUUGCUGUUUGCUUUUUAUUUUAAGACCACGUUCAUAGGAUGGGUAUAUAAUUGUUUAUGGUGACUUUAAAAGCACCUUUCUUGUUAAAAAGAGUAUUUUUUCAUUCUGGAAAAUUUAGACAACAUGUUUUGUUUAAAAAUUAGUUAUAAUACCACCAUCAAGUCAUCAUUGUUUUUAUACAUUGUCUUGGUCUCUUUAUGGACUUAAUAUAUACAAUUUAACAGAUGGGAAAUAACAUAAUUUUAUGAGUAAAAUGUUUGUUGGCGUUAGAGAUGGAGCAGAGAGGAGGCACAGGGCUUCCUGCUGGCUGAGGUGUGUGGCCAGGGUGUGACCAGUGGCCUCCCAAGUUUAGGGUCUGCACGGAGAAGGAUUUCUAAAUCACCUUACACCACACCCCCUGCAGCCAUGUGCCACUUUGAUAAGGGGGUGUACUCUGAUAGAUUUUUCAAGACAAGAUUUUGCUGGAUCUGAGGCUGUUUUGGCUGCUUCUGGAGACGGCAGCUCUGGAACGUUCAUGCCAGCUCUCCCUCAAGACCCCACGGAUGCCAUGUCCUCAUCUUUUGGAAUCCAGUGUUGUAGAGGAGAAGUCUGAGGCCAGUUUGAUUUUUGCUUCGUGGUAGGAAACUGAUGUUUUCAGGCUUUUCCCCUUUAUUUCCAUGAUGAAGAUGAUGUCCCACCUCAUCCGGAGGGGUCUUUCUUGUCUUGUCGGGAACGUCCAGCCUUUAGGUGCCUCUUCAGGUCCUCAGUCCCUUUCUCAGCUUCCUCACAGUCCUCCCUAUCUCAUCCAUCUUCACUGUAAUUCGGUUAUUUUUUCAUUUUUACGCUCACUUUCCCAUGCGACUUUUGUUCUUGUUUCACAGAUGCUGGUGCUAAAUUGUACGUCUGAGGCCCAGGGGCCGUGUUUCAUUCUGUCUGCCUCUGCAUGUACUUUUGAGAAGUAGGGGCGGGGUUGCCCCCUAGGUGCUGUUUCAGCUGGACCUGCCCAGGCUCCCUGAAGUGGGGGCAUUGGGCAGAGCCCAUGUGGCUCUGUGGUGGGCCGUGUUGCUGAACCCUACGUCUGAGAUUUGGGGGCCGUGUUUCAUUCUGUCUGCCUCUGUGUGUACUUUUGAGAAGUGGGGGUGGGGGUUGCCCCCGGACGUUGUUUCAGCUGCACCUGCCCAGACUCCCUGAAGUGGGGGUGUCAGGCAGAACCCGUGUGGCUCUACGGCGGGCCGUGUUGCUGACAGAGCAAGAAGCUGCGCUCCCAGGAUGCGCCUGCAGCUGUGGGCAAGUCUGGGAUUGUGAUGGGAUCGUUUCCUUCUCUAAAAUACAUCUCAACUAUUAUCCAGAGGGUUGGCUGUAGGCUUUCAACAGCUUCACUCUUCUUAGUGACCAGGAGACAAUUCACUAAACAGAGUUGCUGUCAGGGUUUAAUUAGUCAGGAGUUUCUGCCAGAGGCUGGCAGGACAGCUCCCUCUGCAAGCCUCCUGCAGCCUCCCCAUCCCCACUCUUGGGCCCGGCCACCUGCCUUGGUCUGCAGAAGGUGCACAUUCUCUGUUCUCCUGAGGGGCUCCUGGACUUCAGGACAGCCUUGGCAAGCUGAUGUGUAACUCCCAGUCUCUUCUCUUUUUUAGUAAGGAAUACGCUCACGGAAUCCUGAUCUUCUAGAUUGUUUCAUCUUUUUAAAACAGCCGCAGCUUCCUAAGCCACCUUGUGUCUGAGUGUGAAUCACUUACUAUUUUUUACUGCAGAAUGAACAGAACUGGAAUCGUAGGAUUUAGAGGGUGAUACAAAGACAGAGGUUAGGAUAUUCUAUUUUCUCACCUCUUCCAUACACUUUUUCCUUAAAUGCACCCUCAUAUGUCUGUGAAGUUCUUCCCAAUUCUGUAACUUCACUCCACCCUCAAGUGGAUUAUUUGUGAACAGUAACAAGUAUUGAUGUGUGCAACUCUGCAACCCAGCCGGAAUUAAUGCUUUUUAUUUAUCAAUGGAUGGUCAUUGGAUGGCCAGAGGGAUUCCCUGUGCAUUGUGGGGGCCCAGUGCCUGCUUGUGAGUGACAUGGACAUAACGAGGGUUAGGGAAUCUCAGCCUCUGUGAUUCGAGUAGUGACAUCAAGGCAGGUGGAUGACUCUUUGAGCUUGGUAUGCUCCUGGGUGGCACAGCACAGCUGACGUGGAGUGGGGCAAGGGCUUGUUCCACGGGCUUCUGUGUUUUUUCUGUUUUUGUUUUUUUUGAGAUGGAGUCUCACUCUGUCACCCAGGCUGGAGUGCAGUGGUGCGAUCUCAGCUCACUGCAGGCUCCGCCUCCCGGGUUCGUGCCAUUCUCCUGCCUCAGCCUCCCCAGUAGCUGGGACUGUAGGUACCCGCCACCACGCCUGGCUAAUUUUUUUGUAUUUUUAGUAGAGACGGGGUUUUACCGUGUUAGCCAGGAUGGUCUCGAUCUCCUGACAUCAUGAUCCACCUGCCUUGGCCUCCCAAAGUGCUGGGAUUACAGGCUUGAGCCACCGUGCCUGGCCUGUUAUUUUUUUUUUGAGACGGAGUCUUACUCUGUCGCCCAGGCUGGAGUGCGGUGGCGCGAUCUUGGCUCACUGCAACCUCCACUCACUGCAACCUCUGCCUCCCGGUUCAAGCAAUUGUCCUGCCUCAGCCCCCCAAGUAGCUGGGAUUACAGGCAUGUGCCACGCCUGGCUGAUUUUUGUAUUUUUAGUAGAGACGGGAUUUUGCCAUGUUGGUCUGGCUGGUCUUAAACUGUUGGCCUCAAGUGAUCUGCCCGCCUUGGCCUCCCAAAGUGCUGAGAUUACAGGUGUGGGCCACCGUGCCCGGCCCUGUGUUUGAUUCUUAAAUCUUCUUUUUCUUUUUAAUCUUUCUCUUUCUGGAGGACCACUCAGUGGAUAUGAGGAAGAGUUCACAGAUGUCCAUAUUACAUUCCUUUCUUAAAUUAGCCUCCCUUGAACACUGCUGUAGGGUACAGAUGCAUGAAGGGCUGAAAGGGUGGUUGUGUCCCAGUAAGUGUGAGCGUGGAGCUGGUCUGUGAGACCCCGGUGCCGGUGAGGGCACCCGUGUGCGAUGGCCUGGGAUGGGGGUGUGUGGAGCCCUGACCCUGGCACACGCCCUUCAGCUUUGAUGUUUCAGGCCCUUGCUCUGGUCAUCAGUGAGCAGAAGGUCUAACAGCAGUGAUAUUUAUCACUAGUUGUGUUGGCCAACGUGUUAGGAGGGUGAAGCUGUUUGACUUAAGCUGCUUGAUUGGUUUGCAUUUAAAUAGACACCUGGUAGCCUGGUGCCUGGACACUUGCUCUGUGACCUGCCCCAUGUGGCUCCUCCCUCUGGUAUGCAUUAGAUGAGAUGGGCGUGUUUAGGGUGAUGUGGCCCUAGACUGGAAUGCAUUAGAAGUGCAAACCCCGCCCCACCCCAGACCUGCCCCACCCCAGUGUGACGUUAGGAGGCGGAGGCCCAGCAUCCUUCACCUGCCCUCCAGGUAGGUCUGAGGAUGCUGAGGUUUCAGAGCACUGCUUUGCUAGCACACCAGCGAGUCCUGCUUAAAGAGGCCAGGAUCUGAAAUGGCAGGUUACCAAAUUGUGUAGCAGAAAAAUAGAAAUGUUUCCUUAGAAUGGGUGUAGGAAGGAAAAUAAUUUCCUUCUUCAUAUCUGGAAAAUAUUUCAAAUUAGUAGGCACUAUUUGGAAUUAUUAGUGGUCUCCUGUAUUUCUUUCUUUCUUUUCUUUUUUUGAUACAGGGUCUCGCCCUGUUGCCCAGGCUGGAGUGCAGUGGUGCAAUCGUGGCUCCCUGCAACCUCUGCCUCCGGGCUCAGGUGAUCCUCCCACCUCAGCCCCCUGAGUAGCUGGGACUACAGGCGCGCUACCACACCUGGCUAAUUUUUGUAUUUUUUUUUGUAGAGACGGGGUCUUGCUAUGUUGCCCAGGCUGGUCUCGAAUUCCAGCAUUUCUCCUGCCUCAGCCUCCCAAAAUGCUUCUGUACCCCUGCCCCAACAAGGAAGGACAAGAGGUGUGAGCCACACGCCUGUCCUCCUGUCUUUCCUUGUUGGAGCAGGGAUGUAGAAGCAAUUGCCGCAGCCGACUUGAGUACAUCUCACUUUACUUAGCUUUCCUCACGGGUAAUCUGGCAGUGCUGUGCACCAGUGCUGCUGGCCAGCUGUUUUUUCAAUGUACUGGCAGAAAUCAAGCUGAGACCCGGGUUCCUUUCUCCCUGGGUACUGACCAGGUGGGAGAGGAGGGGCGUUGUGUGAGUAUCAUCUUGAUGAGGGCUGGUGGGGGAACAUCAACUUUAAGGUGCCUGGGAUCUAAGGCAUGGAACCCAGCAGUGCAGAGGAACGUAGGGGAUGUAGCCUCGGGAGCAGAGACGUGCGGGCCGGUGCCCUCGUUCCUGGCGGGGUCUGAGUGCAGGAAUAGGUUGGUGAUCCAGCCGAGGUCACAAGACCUGCCUGGAUGCAUGGCUGGUGUCCGUGCUGGCCCCAAAACUGCCCAUUUGGGGAUUCCCCUCAGUCGCAGACUCACCUAGGGGUCCGGAGAGCGUCCCCAGUAUGACCUCAAAGAACGAGGUGUUGCCUUGAGAUCUUCCAAGGUGAGGGUAGGAAUUUUUUUUUUUUUUUUGCAAUUAGCAAUAAUUUGUUGUGAAUGAUCUUGGACCUAUUUUCCACUUCUUUGUGUAGGAAGAGAGACAGAACAAAAAGUCUCAAUGUGCCAGAUGCCACGUAAUGAAGCCAUGGGGUUAACGUUGUUGAUUAUUACGUAGCAUCACGUUAAUUGGAACAUAUUCACACGUGUCCACAGCGUGUGCGUGUGCCCAGUCUGAUGAGCACGUUGGGUUAGGGUCGCUGCUGGUUCAUGCAGACCCUCUGGGUGGGGCUGUCUCUGUGGCUUGGCCAACACCCUUGCUGCUGCCGCUGUUGGAGUCUCCAGCCUUGACCGGCCUUGCUGCCCCCAGGUUCUCGGGGCCUGCGCACCCUCUUCCCGGCGCGCACCCUCUUCCCGGCGCGCAGCCUCUUCCCCGCGCGCAGCCUCCUCCCCGCUUGCACCCUCAUCCCCGCGCGCACCCUCUUCCCCGCGCGCAGCUUCUUCCCCGCGAGCACCCUCAUCCCGGCGCGCACCCUCGUCCCCCGUCGCGUCCACCCGGGGUCUGUCGUGUGUUUCUACUCUGGCCAUGCCCGCCUCUUGCUGUGAGCUAAGUUUAUUGAGGUGCGGUAAGAAACCAACAGAGGGGAGCAUAGUCCGAGGCUGUCAGGGCGGGAGGGAGCCUUGGGCAUCUCUUCCCCAGCUCUGGCGACCCACCCUUCGGGAUGUAGUGCAGGGGAGAGGUGAGUUCUAAAGGUAAGGCUGCGGUGAUUUCCUGAGCCUUAAUUAUCUAACACUUGGCCAUCUGCCGUGUGGCCCUAUCGAAGGGCACCUCUGGGGACAAAGCAAAGCCUUUGGUGGCCGUGGGCGGGGCGGCCGUGCCUGUCUGUGUGUCCUGCACGGGGAGCCCUGCCAGCCGUGGGGACGUUCAGGCACUUGCCACCUGUGGGAGGUGUGUGUUAGCCGCGUGGUAGGUGCGGAUGCGUGGAGGGACAGGCACAGGCCCACAGGCGUGGCGGGUGUGGGAGAUUUAGCCGCGUGGUAGGUGCGGAUGCGUGGAGGGACAGGCACAGGCCCACAGGCGUGGCGGGUGUGGGAGAUUUAGCCGCGUGGGGAUGCGUGGAGGGACAUGCACAGGCCCACAGGCAUGGCGGGUGUGGGAGAUUUAGCCGUGUGGGGAUGCGUGGAGGGACAUGCACAGGCCCACAGGCAUGGCGGGUGUGGGAGAUUUAGCCGUGUGGGGAUGCGUGGAGGGACAUGCACAGGCCCACAGGCGUGGCGGGUGUGGGAGAAAGCGCGCGGAGUGCCCAGCAGAUGCUGUGUGGUCAGCGGAAGCCAUGGACACAGGCCGGGCGGGGGAGGCACAUCUGGAAAUACCCUUUAAGCAGCAUCAAUGGAUAAUGCUGUGAUUUGGCUUCCUUUCGUGGUCCAAAACACGAUCUAGUGAUGUCGCUGAUUUGUGUGUACCUGGGACAAGGAACUAAAUGUAUUAGGGCCUUGAUGUAAUCUGUAAAACAGGCACAAUAUGCCUAUUUCAAAGAGGCAGUGGACAUGAAAGAGUGCUCUGAACUAUUCAGUGCAAUGAGAAUGCUUCGUUGUCAUUAGCAAAGUAAAAUGCCUCCAAGGUGAGCUUGCCAUGCGUUUAAUGACCGUGGACAUGAACUUCCUAAACCUGCCAGAAAGUGCUUCCAGCGUGGCUUCAUGCAGUGGCUUCAGUGGAGAAUAUGCAUAUGCGGCUGAUACUGAGAGCUGGGCAGCACCCUGACGGCCUGACACAUCCCCAUGUGUGGACCGUGAACCGGGCAGCACCCUCCCGACCUGACACGUCCCCAUGUGUGGACCGUGAGCCGGGCAGCACCCUCCCGACCUGACGCGUCCCCAUGUGUGGACCGUGAGCCGGGCAGCACCCUCCCGACCUGACGCGUCCCCAUGUGUGGACCGUGAGCCGGGCAGCAUCCUCCCGACCUGACGGGUCCCCUUGUGCCCAUUGUGGGACCUCCAUCAUGCAGGCAGGUGACAUGCAUCAAACUCAAUGCAGGGAGGAGGGUCCAGGAUUGUGUGCGGGCUCCGUGUCUCGUCCUUCUGAGGCCUUCUGGGAAGCCAGGAGGGCAGUGGGGUCUUUUGUGUGUUUCCUCCUGGUGGCCGUGGGUUUGUAGAAAUGGCUUUUUGCAAAAGGGCCCGGAGGCGGAAUUAGAGCCUGUCCUGGAAAGGAUGAUGCCUUCGCGGGCACCUCUUUCCAUUACUCCAGUGCUCCCGUGAUUUUAAAUAUGUGCACUCUGCAGACUUCAGCCCUCUAGUGUCCUGGGUGAAUAAAUGCCAGGAUUGCUCCAAUGCCGGCAAACCUGAAACAGGAAUUUCUCUGCAUUAAGUUUGUCACCAAAAUGGGAGGUAAGGGGAGAGGGGAAGGAACUUCUUGGCCUCGUCAGCCCUUUUCUUGAAACUCACAGUCAAACUUUGUCAAGUUCUAGGUGAUAGUGCUUGAGGUGAUGCACUUAUUUAUGUUAUGUCUUGUUUUCUGAGUACGGUGCUUCGAGAAUUUAAAUAUUUAGGUGAAAUUGCCAUGCACAGUUGAAUUGGCACCAUAAUUUGACUCUCUGUAAAGCCUUUUGGUUUCCUGUUAGAGUGACCAUUUUUUGAGUCAACUGAAGCAAACCCUGCUGUCAGCACGAAGGAGCCACUUUAUAGUUAGAGAUCAAAUUAAAUAGAAUUCUCCUAAAUAGAGCGUGCUCUUUUCAUAAAUUUUAAAAAUUCAUUUAUUCAUCAAACACAUAUUGAGUACUUAUCACCCUGGUUGCUAGUUACUGUUCAUAUAUGUUUUUAAGGAAUUACUUCCACCUAGCUCUGAAAUAACAUUGCAUUUAGAAUUUAGCCCAGAGGUGAUUAAGCAUGAGCUUUUCACAGCAGUCCUGUUUUCAUUUUUACUUGAGAACAUGUUCUCAGACUCGGUGCCCAGCUGACGUUACCUGUGCGUUGCCCGAGGCACACACCUGGCCAGGGCUGUGUCUCUGGGGCUUCAGAGGAGGAAGGAAGGGCUGCCAGGCGUCUGGCCCUUCCACAUUUCCCUGGUGGAGGGAUUAGGCGUUGGGCAGGACUUUUGGCUUGUCUUAAUGGAUUAGCUGGUGUCUCUCAGUCAGCUCUGCCUUGGUGUUAAGCUCUGGACUGACUCUGACUUCUGAGUGGCAGAGGAGAGGGCGGUGAUUUAGAAUCAGUCAUGCAGACCAGGGCACUCAGCGGGUCUUGGGUAAAAAGUGGUGGCAAUCGAUUGCUUGCCCUUUUGGGAGAACUGUGUGGAUUGACUCCUCUGAAGACCUCUUUCUUUUGAUUUUAUCUUGAGACUUUGUAGAAGCAAAAAUGCCUUUAAACAAAAUUAAAUGAUGGGCUUUUGUAAUGUUUGUGUCUCCCCAAGAUUCACAAUUGGAAUCCUCACCCCCGAGGAGGUGGUGCUAGGAAGGGGAGCUUUGGGCGGUGAGGAGGUCGUGAGGGUCUCAUGAAUGGGAUUUGUGCCCUCAUAAAAGGGACUACAGAGAGCUCCCUCGCUCCUUCCACUGUGUGCGGACCCAGUGAGAAGGCGCCAUCUGUGAACCAGGAAGCCCUCACCAGACAAACCUGUCAGGCCUUGACCAUGGACUUCCCAGCCUGAGAGCUGUGAGAAAUGAACUUGUGUUGCUUGUCAGCCCCCGCCUAGCCUAUGGUGUGUUGUUACAGCAGCCUAGGUGGACGAAGGCAGGUUGUGAAUUUUCUGUCAUAUUUUCUGGCUUCAGAUACUUGGUAGGGAGAUGUCACCAUCUUACGCAGGUGGGACCGUCUGGAAUCAGACGUUAUGUUAUGAUUUGACCCUGUUCUUGCCCCACGCCUGUGCAGUUCACACCUCCAGGUGUCUUGGCUGCCCGCGGCCCCUCCAGGUGUUUCUGAUGCGGGGAUGUGGGUGCUGGUGCACACGAGUCCCAUGUGGUGCCGGUCGCAGCUAUGCCGUCGGGGAGCAGGACUAGGAGCUCCCGCCCCUUGUGAACCAGCAGCCUCACCGGGAAGUUGCUGAGAAGUGUAUGACGGAAGGUGAUCGCGCCUCGAGACUGAAACUUCCUGUUUACAGGGAACUGAGGUGCAUAGGAGGGAAUUUAAUGAUGCCCCGAGAGACAGAUGCAUCUGGGGGACGUUCUGCAGGACGUUGGCCCCAGACUCUCGAAAAGUCAUCACAGAUAAAGGGUGUGAGGCUGUCCCUGAUGAAGUUGGGGAAGGAGAGUCACUCGGCGCAGUGUGUGGCCCAGAUAGAAAAGACGUUUUCGGGAGAAUUGUGCUUAUUGAAUAUAAAGUGGACAGCGAUGCUCUGAAAUGGUUCUUUUCUGCCGAUGAUGGUUCUGCGGCUGCAGAGGGGCCUUUAUUCUUAGGGAACGCGUGCGUGAGGACUCGGCGAGGCGGCAGGAGCCUGUCACCUUCAAGUGGCUCCAGAGGAGAAACGAAUCUGUCUCUCUGUAUGAUCUACAGAGAGAGUGAGAGAGAGAGUGAGAAAGCAAAUCUGACGAAAUGUUAGUUGUCGGAACUCCACGUGGAGAAAACUUGGCCACUCAUUGUACUGUUCUUCCACUUUUUAAAUAUGUUUGAACAUUUUCAUAAUGAAAAUGUGGGAAAGUAAAAAUACAUCUGGAAAUUGGUAUGGAAGUGAGUCAAGCCAAGCACCCUUGGGUUCAGCCGGGAAGAGCCGACGAGCCAUUGGUGUUCUGUCGACUUGUCAUGGGGAUUUCCUCCUCCUGAGUUCACCACCUAGUUUUCCUUGUGAUAAAGUUAUUUUAUAUGUAGCUAUGAGCACAGGUUGAUGCUGAAAACACACGUGUAGUGUGGAUUGUCAUUAAGAAUGUGGAGAACUGGCUAAAGAAACCACUUGUCCAGUUUUGAGAUGAGCACUGCCUGCCUCAGCAUCUGUGGUAACAGCUUCACUUGGGUGCAGAGCUUGGCAGAGGUUUGAGUGACUCUGUCUCGAUGAUCGUCUGUCGGAGGACGAGGUUAAGUGUCACCACCGAGGACCCCGUUGAGCCUCUGGGCUGGAAGUAACUUCCCCUGGGCUGGUGUGGCAGCCUCUGGGGGUCUUUCCUGACAAGACCCUUCACUGAGCUGCAGUUUGGCCACCUCUGCCCUCGCCUCCCUGACUGCAGGGCCUCGAGGUCUCACCACCUCCAGCCUGAGCGCCCAGUGCCCAGGGGCAAUUUCCCGCCUUCCCCGGGGGCUCAGGAUGCCGGCUCCUGGGGCAGUGCCCGCAGCUGUGCCCCUCCUCCAGGGCUGGCCACGGCCUCCUGCUGUGUCGUACCAGCUGCUUCCCCGCAGCUGCAGCCCACACUGGGUGGCCGCUUCUGCUUCUGUUGGAUGAGGAGACGCAGGCCCUCGCCCAGGCCCCCAUGGGCCCUCGCCCAGGCCCCCAUGGGCCCUCAACGCCCCAGAGACCCAGCUUCCCGGCCUUGCCCCUACUGGCCCUAAGGCUGUGCCACCUCCCCCUGCCCAGCCCCUGGUCUCUGUACAGUGUCUGUCCAGGACGUCUAUCCAUCCAUCCUUGACAUCCUGUCCAGAUGAGGCCACUGUUAUCCCAGUCUGUGAGGGGCGAUUACAGCCCAGGUGCUGGCCGAUGUGGAGAUGCUGAUGGACUUCAGUGUGCAGGAAAGCGAGUUCCUUCAUAUCCACAGCCAGCUGGGAGCCCACCCCAUUCACAGGUGGAUUUGCCUUGUUUUUUGGCCCAAUCACCUACAUUAGAUCAGAAGAAUCACAGUUCCCUGCUCUUCUGGCUUUUGUGAUUGUCGACCUCUCUCCUCUGCCUUCUAUUGGAGGGUGGGGUGUGUCAUGGGUUCGUGGAAUCCUCUCUCUGUUCUUGUGUAGCCACCAGGGACUGUUAUCCAGGCUGAUUCCACAGGAGGAGUUUGGGGUGAGUUCCUGAGCGAGAGUUGGGAAGACUGACGUCUGCGUAAAUCUUGCUUGUUCGUGGUUAUUCCUCUCGGUCUUCUUAAAUUCUGAAAAAUUGGGGGCCAAUUAGAAAUAAAGAUUUAGGUAUGGAUCGGUGAGGACAGAAUGUUGAUCUAAUUGGCUUUACGUUGUGUGUGAUAAUUUUACGCUACCCUCCGGAAGAACUUAAGAUGUUGACAUUGUCGUGAGAAUCAUUUUUUUCUGUUUCUUUUUUUUUUUUUUUUUUUUGAGAUGGAGUCUCGCUCUUGUUGCCCAGGCUGGAAUGCAAUGGUGCAAUCUUGGCUCACUGCAAUCUCUGCCUCCUGGGUUCAAACAAUUCUCCUGCCUCAGGCCCCAAGUAGCUGAGAUUAUAGGUGCUCACCAACACACCCAGCUAAAUUUUUGUAUUUUUAGUAGAGACGGGGUUUCACUCUUAAGGACGUUGUUCAGUAAGUACUAAUUGGUGGCCUGCCGUUGAACUAAUUUCAGUGUAGUACUGACAUCAUCAGCCAUGGCAGAAACUUACUUGGCAUCCCUGGAAGAGAGGGCAGGGAAGCAUAGCAACCUGAAACCACCUCAUUCUCCAGCGCUACUUCCAACUCUGAACUGAUGGUCAUUACGAGUGGAUCUGCCCAGGACAAGUAGUUUAGUGUAGCUGCCUUGGACGGGCAGGUGAAAAGUAACAAACCGCCAGAAAACUCAGCUAAUAAAAUGUUAGGAGAGACUUGGGGCACCAGGAAGGGGUGAGGCCUGUCUCUCUGUGUGCCAUCUGUGUGGAGCCUCAGUAUCUAGGGGACAGCGUUGACGCCGAGCCCCAGGUUUUUAUUAGCGUUUCCCUGAAUAAAACGCCACUCGUAAGCUGUGGACUGGGAGGCUCUUUCUGAUGAUUAGGCUUCAUAAUGCGGGAUCGCUAGGCAAGGUGGACGUGAGGGCCAUAGGAUCUGGAGACUGUCCAGGGCUGCUUUCUGGAAGGCGGCCAGCCUGCUGGAGGGGGACAACAGGCUUGUCCCUUCAGCAGUGAAGCCACCAAAGAGAGUCUUUUUGAGAAUAAAAGAGAGAAGCUUUUAAGGAAAAAAGCAGUUUCUGUCUCUGUUUGGGAAUUGAGUGCAUUUUCCCGCAUUUAUACAGAGAUGUUCCUCAGUUCCCACUGUGUGCCGUGGCCCCGCUAUGGGGUAGGGUCACCCCACCGCGUACCUAACCCAGCAGAACUCCUCUGCAGUUAUUUCAGAGGCUGUUUGCAUUUCUUGUGCCUCAAUGGGUGGAGGGAGUUUUUCCUCCUACUGUUUUUAGUCACUUUUCUUAAUCUAGCCUGUUACUGGGAUAAGUUCCAGAGCCGAGCAGUUUUAAAAACAAUCUUUGCACCUUGCAUGGAGAGCAGUCCACCUGUGGGUGGUUUGUUCCCGGAGGUGCUGCAGUGGCCUUGGGUGACGCGAGGGCCCCCUGGCUCAGGAUGGGCUGAGGGAGGAGUGCGUGAGCAGUGGGCACCGGCUGGAGGCAGGGGAGGUGUGGCCACCUGUGGCUCAAACUCUCCCCAUCCACUCUAUGGCACCGCCUCGGACUCCCCGCGUCCGCUCUGCGGCACCGCCUCGGACUCCCCCCUUCCACUCUGCGGCACCGCCUCGGACUCCCCCCGUCUGCUCUAUGGCACCGCUGGAAUGUGAAUGCUGUUGCCCUGGACGUUUUCUCUCUCUGCUCAGUGCCCAGGCUCUUGGGUACACAGGCGGCCCCGGGUUUUAUUUGGAAAGGGUGCAGAGAACAAUGAAGUAACCCACGUGCCUAAGCUUUGAUUCACAUGAAGAAAUGUAGAGGCUGCUGAAAUCCUGGUCAUUUUAGAACAAAGUAUCUUAUUAACAUUUUUCUAAAAGAAAGAAAUCAUUAAAAAAUUGAUCCCGGUUGAGGUAGAAGGAUCUCCUCCUCAUCCUCCUCAGUUCCUUCCAGAAUCAGCUUCGAGUUCAGCUGCAGAACGGGUUCUGGUGGUGGCUGGAGCAGCCGAGGAGGGUGCCAUCGGGUCUGAGUUCACACCGGUGCCCGUGUGGUCUCCAGUUACGGUGCUGGCCGUGGAGUCUGGGUUCACACCGGUGCCCGCGUGGUCUCCAGUUACGGUGCUGGCCGUCGGGUCUGAGUUCACACCGGUGCCUGCAUGGUCUCCAGUUACGGUGCUGGCCGUCGGGUCUGAAUUCACGCUGGUGCCCGCGUGGUCUCCAGUUACAGUGCUGGCCGCUUGUAGCUUUCUGGGAAGUUAGAAGGAGGAUCAUUUCAUCGCCUCCCUGUCCUCCCACACCUUGACCUAUGCUGGGCCACCGCGAAUUCUUCCUUUUAACUGUUUCUCUCUUCACAGGCAACACUGGCGUUUUGUGGUCCUCGUUUGCCUCUUCUGAAAACGGAUUCUGUGUUGCUUUAUAGAAUCACAUGGUCUCUUUUACGAAUUUCGCUUUUCUUUCAUAAAAUAAUCGUGCUUUUAUCUCUUCAAUCUCAACUCUGUUCCCUGACACAGGCUCUAACCAGCUCAAAAAUUAAAAGUAAUCUUUGAUUACGCUUAAUACUUUCUAAAGUUUUCAAGUUUAUCAGCAUGUGGGUUACUGAACAUUGACUAUUUAUUUAAUGGAAAAUUACAUUCUAAGUAGAGUAUUAAAGUGAAAGUGAUCUUUUGAUUUUAUUAAAAUAUUCAGGUAAACAUAUUAAAAUGCCUUCGCCAAACUUCAUGCUUGUAUAUCAUGAAAACAUUAAGCUGCUAAGCUCUCUCUGCUCCUGGGAAUGCAUUACUAGAGUAUGUGUUUGCAGGUGUCAUUCCAGUCUUAGUUUUAGGUAUUUUUAAAGGGGUUGGCUGGAGAAGUGACAUUUAGCAUUGAGUGAAUGUUUGAUAAAGAUUUGUCUCUAUAUAAAAAUAUUUAAAAACAAUCUUUAGCGUUUCCUCUUAGGGUUCACCCAUUAAAGAAUGGUCUUGUAAAAAAAAAACACGUUAAGAGUGUUGGCGCCCAGAGGUGCUACCCUGCCCACAGUUUCAUCAUCCGCUGUCGCCAGGCGACACGUCCAGUGUUUAUCUGCAUGUCAGAUGUGGCCACAGGGCCACAGGACAUCCCUGCGGAUGGAUGUUCUUAUGCAGAUUAAUUAGGAUGGAGACUGCUGCAGAACUGUAAACCCCCCAGGGGCUGACGGAAGCCUGGGAACACCUGAGACACCAGAAUCCGCUGCUACAGUGGGUGGAAGGAAACCUCUCUGGAAGAUGGGACACGUAAUAAGGAGAAAGUACCAAGGCACAUGCUGCUUUGAAAACUGAGAUGUUUUAAUUAAAUUAACAAUUAAAAUAAUUUAAUUAUGUGAAUUAUUUGAACUCAUUUUAGUUCUUUUUAGGAAAUUAAUACUUUAAGCAAGUUUGUUUUUGUGAAUCGUUUGAAUUAAUUGAGUCAGCACAAAUGUUAGCAUUGAUAUCUGACCCCCUUCCAGGGUUGGGGCAGAGGAGAUGGGGGCGGAGGAGCCAGGCCUCCAACCCGCUUUCCCCUGGAGCUCAGCCAGAAUUCCCCAUUGAGGAGCCCUCAGCUCCCUGAGAGCCAGGAGCUCUUGCGGAGAAGCCACUGUCUGCACGCCACCUGCUUCGAUGACCCUGCUCUGCCAUCCCUGUGCUCCAAGGGCCAGGCCCUGCCGUUGCCUGUGCCAGACGGGUCUCAGGGAGAUGCCGGCCAGCAGGUAUGCAUGGUGAGGCCUGGGCAUCACGGCCCGAAUUCUGUGGCUGCCAGUUUCAUUCUCUCGUUGUUUGUCCCCCUAGCAAGACUUAUGAGGUUCCUUGAGGACAAGAACCCCUCCUCCCACCUGGUCUGUUUCCUGAACAUUCACUGCACUAGCAUGGCCCAGGGACAGCCCUUGGGAAUCAGGGCGUCAGCCACGGUAGAGCGGCUGGCACUGCUCAGCACCACGACGGACGUUGGCCGCUGUGCUUCGCUUUGGGGACAUGUUUAAGUACAAAACUAAUUUUAAAAUUUCACCAUUAUUUCAAGACAGCUGAGAGCAUAUUAGCACAGAAUCCCUGGUCUGAAUGAAAUCGAAGAGUUCUUAUUAAUUAUUCAUGGUGCCAUGAAUAUGUUACCUUAUUUUUUAUAAUUGCCAGUCUGUAUAAUUAACCUUUCAUUUAGUUAAAGUACUUAACAUUAAGUAGAGCUAUAAUUACAACUGUUUUUAAAAGUAUAUGGAAGAAUGUUUAAAUGUUUAAUUAGAACCACUUUUUUUAGCUUCAUAAAGAAUUUUUUUUACCUGUCAACAAGGAUCUUUAAUUAUUUAAACCAAAAGAGAAGAACAGACCAGAAAAGAAAAACAACUAGUCAAGCUGGGAACUGCGAUGGUAGCGUCGUUCCGUGAGUCUCGGGUUUUGCUUCUUGGGUUUGUGGUCAGAGUCCUUACCUUUGAUUUCCUAACACAGGUUGUUAGAGUUGGAAGUGAGCGUGGAGAUGAGUUAGUCCAACUUUAUUCUUUCACGGAUGAGAAAGCGAAUUAUCUUCAGCAAGGUGGGUGCAGGUGUGGCCCCCGGGGGACACUGUGGGGAACAGGCCGCCCUCGUGGGGAGCCAAGUUCGUCGUCUCUGGGACAGAGCCCAGGACACUUCCCCGGCUGGCUGGCCUCUUCCUAGAACCCCACACAUUGCAAAGGAUGGAGUCCAGAUCUAUACCAUAAAGAAACGAGGGCGGUUACAGAAAGCACCACAAUCUCCGCUGAGUGGCUCUGGGCACCCCAACGUUGGGACACCUCAGCAUCAUGUCUGGCAAUCCUCAGGCUGUGCCCAGCGGUAAGGCUGGGCCCGAUCAAGGCUGCGGUGUCCACCCUGAGAGCGAGGGCUUCCUUCCCCCAGUGUGGGUUAAAGCAGUGAGGCCGGGCCUGAUUGAAGCUGCGGUCUCCACCCUGACAGCUUGAGCUUCCUUCCCGCAGUAUGGGUUAAAGCAGUGAGGCUGGGCCUGCUGGAGGCUGUGGUCUCCACUCUGAGAGUGAGGGCUUCCUUCCCCCCAGUGUGGGUUAAAGCACCAUGUGUCCACCUAUGCAGUGGCUGGUCCCAAUGUGCCCUGAGGGGCAGAAACCCUGGGUCCUGCCGCUGGUCUGGGGUAUCUACUUCCCAUUCCUGCAGUUCCUGGGAGUGUCUGUGUGUCCAGGGGGCUCCGAUCCCUGCCUCAGGACCACAGGUGAGGGGUCAAGAUCGCCCGCUUUGGAGUUGGCCCGGAUCUUGGUUCUGUGUGGCUCUGGAGCAGUUUUGUCCUCAGGAGAGGGAUCCUCACAGCCGCCUCUUGGGACCAUGAGGAGAAUUAAUAGGAUGACCCCCAGGUAGCUACUCGUAGCCCUGUGCGGGGCCAACCGUGUGUCUCCACCGCCAGUUCCUUCCGUCUGUGCUCCGCCCAACUGUCACAUCACCAGCCUUUAUUUUCUUUUUCUUAGACUCAGACAGCGAGUGCCCCACUGGCCUCAGCAGCCCCUUCUCUAACCUGUCCUCAAGUCAGUUCCUCACCGACAGCCCUGACCACCCAUUGGCAUGACCAAAACCCCACCAAAUAGAACCCAACUUUCCUAUUAAGCAGUGCAGAGCUGUCCCAGCCCCACUUCCCACAGGCUGGCGUCAUUCGCCAUGGGAUCCGUGGUUCUCACCUGGGGCUGGGGGUGCCCCUGGCAUCUGGUGGGGAGUGUCAGGGAUGCCCUUCCAGGUCCAGGAUAGUCCCCCAGCUGGUGGCCGGCAGACAGCAGCACACAGCCUGAUGUCCCUGUGGCUUCCGGUUCCCCGAGGCCAGCUGUGCUUUGCUGCCUCUUCAUCUUCUCAGACGGGUGCCCUCUCUCCACCUUCGCUGGUUAGCAAUGUUCAUCCAUUAGAGCUCAAAGCACUGCCUGCUGGCAGCACAGCCUCUUCUCUUGGCCCUCUGUCCACCUGUGCCCCACGGUCUGUUCCGUGUCCCCGCCUUCCGCCUGUGCCCCAUGGUCUGUGCCAUGUCCCCGCAGGCCCAUUAGAGCAAGGCUCCCAGGGACAGAGCGUUUCCUGUUUGUGUCUCUGUCCCUGGCACCAUGCCCGUUGCCAACAGAGGUCUUGGGUUGAUUGUCACCAAAGCAGAUAAUCUAUAUGGCUGUAAAUGGCUGUAAACAUGCUUGAUUGGGGUAUUUUUUAAAUAAUUGGAUAUGUAAACAUUUGAAUGUGACACAGGUGGAUUUUUGGGCCAAUGGUCUCGUUCUUCAGGGAAUAACCACAGGCCCAUCCACAAGGACCAUUUCUGGCUGAUUUAUGGAACACUGUUCUACCUGGUUAAUUUUGGACGUUAUCUCAGCCUGAGAGGUAGGUCAGCAUGUGAUGAAGAUCACUGGUUUGAAUCCUAAUCUGCUACUUAGAAGCUGCAUAUUUUCCUGCCAUGUUCUGUGCCUCAGUUUCUCGCUUGGUUAGGUAGGAAAGGUAUGAGCUACCUCAGAGUCGUGAGUGAGGCCUGCAUCGAGUGUCUGCAUUAAAGUGCCGAGAACUGGACCCAGAGUGUUGAUAUUUAAAGACCUUUACACAUUCCGAUGCUGCAUUUUAGUACCCCGGUAAAACAGCAAAGUCGUUACAGAUGCAGACACAGACCCUCGGUGAGGUGGGGGGCUGAUGGCGGGAGGUGGGUCACCGACCCUGUAACGAGGGCGUGGUCUGUUCGAGGCUGAAUGAAGUGCACGUCUUCACGUGUACCACGGUGGUGCCUCUCGUGAAGUCCUGUAAGCGUCCACGUGGCUGAGCCGUGCGGUCUGUUUGUGACGUCUGGCAGGAGCAGAGCUUUUGGGCGCAGCCUCGCUCUUGUGUGCACGGCCCUCAACGAUCUCAAAAGUCUGAGGCUUAAAGCAGGCUUGGGGCUUCCCUUACACCUCCCGGACAUCUAAUUUGCCUGGCAAACAUGUUAUUCUUGGGUGUAAAGGUGAAGGAGUGGGUGACUCUGGUGAAAGUGUACUAAUUACUGCACUUCUGGGUCAGUGGCGCUCGGUUGAAGACACUAUCUACCCUGGGUGGACAUCUCUGGUGUGGUGAGAACCGGCGGCUGGAUGUCGCGAGGUUGCCAAGAAGAUGCCCGCUUUUUCCUUUUUCCUCAGUAACAAAACCCUACUUUGUUUAGGGAAGCAGCGAACCCAGCUGAAAAUCCAAUUCUCUUGUACGGCGGAGCAGCUGGUGACACAGGUCCAGAUGCUGGGAUGCUGAUGGGGGGUUCUGGAGAGGGAGGUGUCGGGAGGGUUUCCCGACCCACAGCAGCCCUGGGCCCUUGUCCGGCCUUCUUGCCCGGGGCAUGACGCCUGGAGGGAAAGCAGCUUCGGGGGCCUGAGGGCCGCAAGGCAGAGUCCUGGUGUGUGGGGCAGGCCUGGGCCAGGCUCCUUGGAGGAUGUUACAGAGCCACUGCGUGUGCGGGGACCACCCACCUCUGAGCCCCACGCAGAUUUUCCUCCAUAGCCGAGCGAAAUCCUGGUACGGCGAACGAGGCAGUCAGAGGCACCUUUUGUGGAAGGAGGACAAAGCUGGAGGGAAAGAGGUUUUCCUAAAAGGCACAAGGCGCUGAUACUGCGUUAGGAGUAAUUCGUAGGAGCAUGGUUGUUGGUGGGUGGAAAACUGUAGCCAAAGAAUAAAUGGGAAUGGCCCUUCUUGGUAUUUAACUGAUUCGUUCACGAAUGGUCCAAACAGUUGUAGUGAAAAAAACAUUUUGGACACAGAUGUUUUCAUCCUGCCUGACGAUCGACGUGACCGUGGGGUGUUCCAUCCUUCCUGGGCAACAGUGAGAGGGCCUGACGAUCGGCGUGACCGUGGGGUGUUCCAUCCUUCCUGGGCAACAGUGAGAGGGGCUCAGGCCCUUCUGGCCCCAUGCAGGCAUUUCCCCAGGGUGUGUCCCCCGUCCUGAGUAGGCCGGAAUGCAUCUGGGUGCAGCUGAGCCUCUUGAAAAGGGAAGAGUCAUGUGACAUGCUCUCGGUGAACAGGAAAAUGAGGGAGGACAAGGAGAGGGGCCUGGAGGUGAGGAGGAUGGUGAGCAACACCAGGGAUGGGAUGGAGGGUAACCCCGGGGACGGGGGGACAGAGGGUAACACCGAGGAUGGGGGAUGGAGGGUAACACCACUUCUCCAGGUGCCUUUGGGGGAUGCUGCCACCCCUCCCACCCCAGAGUGAAGUCAACAGGAUUCUGUCCCCAGGAGCCCCAGAGCCUGGCAGCUGGGAUUGGCCCAGUAUGAACCACUGUUCACUGGCUCUGCACCCUGGGACAGGCUCCCUGGUGUUUCCGCCCCAGUUUCCCAUCUGGACAGUGAGACCCUGACUGUCCCCGUCACAGGCGCACAUGGAGCCCUGGACUCUAGCAUGUCAUUGGCACUCGUUAGUGUCAGCCCUCGUUAGCGUUUCUUUUGUCGUGGUCCACGGAUGAAGUGGAUCUUUCUUUGUGUAUUCACAGACCUCCUGCUCACUUUACCUUCUGGGAACACUUUGUAAAUAGCUUCGUAUGUGGGGAGGACUCAAGUGAUUAAUUGAAUAUUUCAUCAGGUGCAGUUCUCUGUGUCCCAGCUUGCAAAAUGCUCUUUUGACACAACAUUUGGUGAAAUUUCCAGGGACUCCUGUGGUCAGCCUCAUGGUUUCACUCUGUCACUUUCUAAUGCCGUGUUCUUUGGGAGUCUUUUAAAUUAAGCGCCGUCAUUUAAAAGUAAGUUUUAUAAUAUGCAGUUUCAGGUUACUUCUUUACCUUUGUGUCUUAGGCAGUGGCUUCCCACCUGUGAGUAGUCAGAAAGGUUCACACAGUUUUCCAGGGCGGCCUUUGCAUUUACUGGAACUAUUAAGAGCUCGUUCCUGCUUUGGCCGUGAUUGAAGCGCAGUGUGCGUGAGGUCGUGCGUGGCUUAGCAUCUUCUGCAGGCUAGAGGUCACUUUCGUCCUUCCCCGAGCCUGCUCUGCUGUGCUGAGUGUUCCCUGUGGGCGACGGUCAUACUGUCUGGCACAGGCCACCGAGGCCACAGGGCAGGCCCCACGUAGUGGAGCCUGCAGAAAGGCAGAGCCUGGCCUCCUCGCCGCCUUUCACAGGGAGCAGAAAGCGUAAGCCUGUUAUUAGAGCUGUGCUAGCCCAGAAAGCCUCCGAACAGUGUUUAAUUUAGGAAUCGGCUCCUACCAACUGCCCAUUUUUAGGAUGUAUUUGAGUUUUUGUGAUUUUUUUUUUCUGCACUGAAGCUACUGUGCUGGCUCUGAGUCACUGUCAUGGGACUUCACGUUGCCCCGAUGGGAAGCGGCGGGGGAGGAGGGCUGCACAGAGGCUUGCGGCCGUGAUAAUGAAGGGCUUGUUGCUUCUUGGGACAGUGAGUUCAAGCUGUUUGUAAUUGUCAGCGUAAACAGUGACCCGCUGAGGACACAGCUGUAAUUCAGGGUGGCAUGGUUGAUUGUCAUCGUUAAUAUCAGGCACCUGCGUCUAAAAUGACGGUGCCUGUAGUGCGGCUCCAGGAGGGCUGGGCAGCUCCUGCUCAACACACAUGCUCCUGGGCCCUGGCAGCCAAGGUUGCACCGCCGGCCAGGCCUGCAGCUGUGGGUGCAGCAGGGCCUUCAGGGCACCGAGCGCCUCCCUCGUUUGCUCGUGGGGCCCACCCCUCCGUCCCCAGUGUGGCUCCCCCCCGGGUUCUCCCGGCCACAUGCACACCUCCGUCUUCACAGCUUCCGUAGUUUUCUCGUGGGUGCCCCAGGUGAGCUCCUGGGGAGGGUUCAUGUGUCAGUCAGGUUCUCUCCAAGCGUCCCUGGCUCGUGGCUCAGCAGGUCCCUUUCAGAUGAGUCAGCCAGCUGUGUGCCUGCAUAUUCAGCAUACUUGUCAGGGGGCUGCCUCAGGUCAGAGCAAGACCGACGCUCGCCUCCGUGGGACUUUGGAGCCCGCCCUGGAGAGACUCCAGCCACGUCCAGAGGGGCUGCCCGGGCCCCCGUGGGCUGGUGGGAGUGACUUCCAAGCCACUCAAGGCCCCACUUUGUAUUCCUACACCCUAGAAAGCCACUUAAAGAGCCGUGUUCUGGUGCUGUGUGCCUCUUGAGUGAGGCACAAAAGCCUGGAUGUGGAGCUGAGCGGGCGCUGCCUUCCUCAGGCUGUGCUUGUGUUUUGGGGCCCCUGGAGCACUUGUGGCUGUGAUUUUCGACGCUGUCUGUGGGCUCCCCUAGAUGGUCCCACCUGCAGCGUGAGGGCCCCAUCUGCAGCCACCGAGGAGCUGGCAGGUCCGGCUUUGGUCCCACUCAGUCCUUCUCAACUUUGGUGACAGAGGUGACAGCAAAGCUUCAGCUGGGAGCCCCAGGCCUUCUCCACUUGGGACCCUGGGACCGAGAUAACACAGAUCCCUCCAUCCACGUGCUGGGGGCCUCGCCGUGCGGCUCCCUUCUCUGGUCAGGGGCUGCGCCCUUGGGCUGGGCAGUUCCCGAGUCCUCGCACUCAGGGGCUCAGGGUGGGUCCUGGGUGCAGAGAGAAGGAGCAGGGUGGCGGUUCGAGCCCAACUGUGUUGGCUUCAUCUUCGACCUCUUGUCUCUAAAUAUAUUUGCGAAGUUUUCCAUAUGAAAACUCAGAAGGAAUUUUUAAUGACUGUGUAAUCUGUGAAUGCUGUGGAAGCCAAGUCUGUCCGCCUCUUUCAUCCACCUCACUUCUCACUGUUGGGGCUGAUUUUGGCAGCAUUCAUAGGGGUAUGGAUGCAAGGGGCAGUGGCCAGCCCUCGGCCCUGCAUCCCUCCCCUGCUCCCCACAGCCCUGCAUCUCUCCCCUCUUCCCCUUGGCCCUGCAUCCCUCCCCUGCUCCCCUCAGCCCUGCAUCCCUCCCCUCCUCCCCUCAGCCCUCGGCCCUGCGUCCCUCCCCUCUCCCUUCAGCCCUGCAUCCCUCCCCUCUUCCCCUCAGCCCUGCAUCCCUCCCCUCUUCCCCUUGGCCCUGCGUCCGUCCCUCCCCUCCUCCCCUCAGCCCUCGGCCCUGCGUCCCUCCCCUCUCCCUUCAGCCCUGCAUCCCUCCCCUCUUCCCCUCAGCCCUGCAUCCCUCCCCUCUUCCCCUUGGCCUUGUGUCCAUCCCUCCCCUCCUCCCCUCAGCCCUCAGCCCUGCAUCCCUCCCCUCCUCCCCUCAGCCCCACAGCAUUUCGGUUUCAUCCCCUUCUCUGCACCCGUCCUCAUGAAAACCUAAGUGCGGCUGGAGGGAGACGCCUGUGCCCAUUCCCGUGACCUCCCUCGCCAGCACGGCUGCAGCGUCCCCUUGGCAGGCAUCCGUCUGGUGCUGCCUCUGUGCCCCCUCCUGUCAAGUGCGGCUGGAGGGAGAUGCCUGCGCCCGUUCCUGUGACCUCCCUGGCCAGCCCGGCUGCAGCAUCCCCUCGGCAGGCAUCCAUCUGGUGCUGCCUCCGUGCCCCCUCCUGUCACCUGAUGCUCGUGCUCCUGAAUCUUCAUAUGCGUGCUCCGUGCAGCCACCUCACUGGCUCCCUGGGAAGGGUGACAAUGUCUCACGCCUGUCAGAAUGCUCCUCUCUGUGCACUGAAUAUUCCAACACAGAAUCAUUCCUCUGUGAUGAUUUAUGCUUUGCUCUGUAGAAUUGGAAUAAAGAAAAAGUGAAUUUAGACAUUACAGCCAUCAGGCUGAAGCUGGGUAAUUGCAUUAGGGAGUUAAAUGAGAGCAUUUGAGCUUCUCGAGCUCUAAUUCCAAAUCUUCGUAUCCCCAUCACCCCAUACCCAGUGUCUAACACAGCUCUUGAUCUAGUAGUUUCUUGAUAAAUGCUUAUUGAAUUGAACUGGACUGAGCUUAACAUUCCCACCCGGAGUUAGAAGCCAGUCCCUGAGCAAGUUGCAUUUAGAACGUGAAGAACGUGAGUUUGACGUUACUGUGGUAAGGGGUAUCCUACACAUCAUAAUUCCAAGUCAAUAUCGGGUAUUUAGUCAAAUGGACUCAAGUAUAGAGAGGCAUUGGCCCAUCGGCGAAAGGGCAAGGCAUGGUGCUUUAGGUCCAGGUCCCUGAUAUCAACUAUGAAAAUAAAAUGUUGUCAACUCCAAUUACAGCCCUGUCCUCAGCUGGUCACUGUUUAUGCUAACAGUUAUAAACAGCUUGAACUCGCUGUCCUGAGAGGCAACACGCCUUCCAUUCUCACUGCAAUGCAGCUGCUUUGGUGGAUGGAACAUGCCCCUCUUCCCUCCCUCCCUCCCUCCCCCUUCUUCUCUCCCCCUCCCUCCCUCCCCCUU